UGUACAAUUAAAAAAUCACACUACAGCCUCUUUAAAAUACCUGCCUUAUUAUAACAGGAUAAUUAUGCUGGUUUUAAUGGAGCUAGGUGCUUAGGGUAAGGCAACUUUAUGUACCAAAAGUACAUUACUUUCACUGAUAUUUGCAGCGAGAGUGUUUAUGAGGACUUCGUAAAAGAUGUAGUGUAGUCUGUAUAAGUUUUAAAAUACUUUGUGCGUUUAAAAUAACAGUGUCCUCCCACACACCAAAUAGGGAGUUCUCCUGGUCCCUGUUACAGUCCCAAAGCUCACCACAUUUGUGUCUUCACUCCAGUUCCCAUCCCUGCUAUGGUUCUCAUGUUACAGGGAUUGUCUUGCCCUUCCAGCAGAGGAUAGCUGGAUGCAAGUACUCCCCAUAUUAGUAUAGAGAUUGCUAGAGAAUGACGCAGAGGCUCUCUCUGCCUCCCAGUGGCUAAGCAUACGGCUUCUGCUACAUUCUCAGCCCCAGAGUGAAGAGCUGAUUUGGAGUUUGAAACAUGGUAGAGCAAUGCACUACUCUGAUGCUGCUGGAUGGGCUUGUAGGGUUGUCGUAACAGCACUUCAGUUCCUUCACCUGAUGGGCUCUGGGAUGCGUACUUCUGACAUAGUUAGUUCAGGGGACAAUUGCUCUUCUCUCUGUUGUGCAUAGACGCUUGAGAUCCAUUUGGAUACAGGUACACACAAACAUGUUUACAGAAUCACCCUACUCAGGCAAACUUCUGUCCUAAGAAACCACCCCCAAAUAUUCCCCAAAUGUUCUGGCUACAGUGCUCCACCUGUAUUAGGAGACCACCACUGUUAACCAACCAAUUUUUGUCAUUCCCUUCAGUGUCACUUAGGACAUGUUUCAUAUUAUAAGGACAACAAGAGGAUUAGCUGGCCCAUAUCUGCUGGUGUUAUUUAUGGGAAUGAAAAUGCCAUUUGUAGUUGUGGUGUUGAGUCAGAGAACAAUGAGAGUGUAAGAAAACUCAUUUCUGGUUUGUUGAAAGGCUUUUGUAAUUUCCUGUUUUUUCAUGACAAUGGGGAUAUAAGUAGGGGAACAAGUUGGGGAAUUUAAGGGAAGAUAUAACUGAAGAAGAGUGUGCAAAUUAUCUGAACCCAAGACCAUAUACUAAUUCAUCUGAACCCUAGCUGUUCAGACCGGCAGCAAUGUGAAGUAUGUUGUACAGGAUAAUGCAAGUCAUUCCCCUAUGAUAUGUCAUGAUCAAUGACAAUCUAAUGAAUUCAUCUUAAAACAAAGUCAGAACAGGAAAAACAAUAGCUAUUUGAAAGACUCCUUUCCUCAAAUAAAUGGAGUCAAUAAAUAUGCUCUUUGUCA
This 1333-nucleotide long non-coding RNA is filed under the name Chrysemys picta bellii (western painted turtle). RNAcentral describes it as "lncRNA (ENSCPBG00000018311.1)". Lineage: Eukaryota; Metazoa; Chordata; Testudines; Emydidae. The record is from RNAcentral.